UGUGUGGAUAAUUAUUAGUCCAACUAGACAUGAUUUCGUUAAGGGUAUGAGCUUUCAUAUUCUGUAAACCAGUGUGUCCAGAGUUCCAAGCAGUUUUCUCCAUGAAGGGUUGGAUUCUACAACCCAUGCAGCUACCCAGACCUUCUCAAGUACCAAUAUGCUAAGAGCAAUCCAUCAACUCUACUCAACAAGCAGAACCUCAAACCCGCAUAGCAAGUACUGCAGAUUGAACCCAGGGCCUCUCACAUGGUAAGCAACUGAGCUACAUCUAUGGCCCUUGUUUCUUUUUAACUAUUAUUUGACUUUGGUUUGUAUACUCUAGCCAACUCAAUAAGGCAGGAAAAAAGAAAUGAGUCUGCCCAUUUCCCAGUUUCAUGAUGCUAUCUCCCAUGAUGUUAUCACUCAUGGCUCAGCAGUACGUCUAAAGCUACUGGCUGCUGGUUUCAUCAAGUAUAUACACUUUUUGUAGCUUGAUUAUCUUUUUUCCCAAUAUUUGAGACUGAAGCCAAGGCCUUCAUACUGAGCUACAUCCCUGGCUUUUUUUUUUUAACUCAUCUGUAUUUAUUUAUUUAUUUAUUUAUUAUUUCUAUUUUGAGAUAGUACUUAGCAACUUAGUGAGACCCCAUCUCCAGGUUGGGUUUGAGCUUUGAUCUUCCUGCCUCAGCCUCUCAGAGUGCUGGGAUUACAUGCCUGUGCCGGCACACCCAGUCAGUCGUAGCUUGAUUUUUUAAAAAGUCUAAGCAAACUCUGAAUAAGUAAAUACCAAAAGCCUUAAUAAAUACUAUGUUUUACUCCUUUUCUCUACUUACAUGAUUAUUUCAAGAGAGGAUAUUCAGGGGCCGAGGAUUUAGCUCAGUGGUUUCGCCGUCUGCUACCCAAGUGCAAGGACCAGAGUUCGAUCCCCGGUACCAAAAAAAAAAAAAGAGAGGAUAUUCUGAUAUUAAGCCCUUUUAUCUGGUGCAAAGUCUGUGUGGUUGCUACUUAGUACCACUAAACUCAAUCUGUGACUUUAUCUGGCAUUUUUUAUGCCCACGCCAGAGCUCACUCUUUAGCCUUCUUUUUAUAUAAUCUUUGUAAUGGUGCUGGUCCCCAGAGCUGUACUAGCAUUGUAAAAUCAAUUAUCCCAGACACUCUGGCUCUCUUCCUAGACUCUGGAAAAGUUUGUUUUGCAGGCAAUUCUUUGGUUCCCCCAACUUUAAAAGAACUUACCCAUUAAACUUAUUCAUCCUGGGCCCUUUUUAGAAGUUUUUUGUUUUUUUUUAAUGUCUAGCUUCUUCCUUAGUUCCUGGUUUAAAGUUUCAGACAUCUGAAUCAUUUCCCUGAAAUACACAUGACACUGAGGUUUUCAAAGUUGUUAUAUUUUAAGUUAUUGUGUUUUAUAUUACAAAAUAAUGAUUCCAAAUGUAACUUGUAAUUUGUUAGUCUUUUUCCAUCCCAACAACUCAUUUUUAGUUUUGACUAUGUGGUUUUCUCUUUUCUUAAUUAGACAUGAUAGUGCUUUAGUCUAUUUUCCUGAUUUUUUUUCUCAAAUAGCUCUUAGAUUUAUCCACUCAACACUUCUGUCUGUUUUUCUAAUUCACAAAUAUCAAUUCUACCUUACAAUUCUUUACUCCAGCUGUCUCUAGGCUUGUUUUAUUCUUUCUAACUUUGAGCUGAACACUUAAUCCAUUUAUUUUCAUUUUCUCUUAUUUAAUAAUGAAGGGAUUUCAAGCUAUGAAUGUGCCCCUAAAUAUAACUUUGGUAAUAACCAAAAUGGUUAUCGAAAUAACCAUUUAAAUAUACAGAGUUUUCACUACUGCCUAAUGAUUCUGUAAUAGUAAUUUCAUUUCCUCUUUGACCCACACUUGAUUCUGGAGAAUUCUUUUUAAUUUUCAAGUAACUGGAUUUCAUUAACAUGUUUAACACUAAGUAUUCCAUGGAAGAGGAAAACACCUCUGAAAGAAAAU
Molecule: long non-coding RNA, 1946 nt
Organism: Heterocephalus glaber (naked mole-rat)
Lineage: Eukaryota; Metazoa; Chordata; Mammalia; Rodentia; Bathyergidae
Source: Ensembl